Molecule: long non-coding RNA, 1967 nt
Organism: Megalobrama amblycephala (Wuchang bream)
Lineage: Eukaryota; Metazoa; Chordata; Actinopteri; Cypriniformes; Xenocyprididae
Exons: 2
Source: RefSeq, a predicted model, not a curated record
UUUCCGGAAAAACAAUAAGAGAUAUGUAUUGUAUAUGAAUGUAAGUGUAUUGUUUAAGUUGUUUAACAGUUGUUUAACGUUUCUUUGUGUGAAUAUGCUUGCUAGCUCGUUGUAAAAAGCUCCAAGCAAUCUUCCACUCACUUCUAGCGAUAACUAUUAGCUAACAUUCGCUAUUCUAUUUGAUGUAUCUGUUAGUCACUUGAUUUAGUUUUGCAAUUAGGUUGUGGCUACAGUGUCUGUGGUCAAUAAAAUGAUUAUAAAGUUUAAAGUCUUCAGAGUCAUCAUUUCAGGUUAACACUUUUUUUUUUUUUUUUUUUAAGUUUACACAAGGUCAGUAAGUAGUCUUAUUAAUGCAUAUAAAGCUUAUACUUAUACAAUAUACGCUGAGGCAGUCAUGUGUUUCUGUGGUUGAUAGCCUAUAAAAAACAAACACUUAAAAUUAAAGUUAAUUAUAUCACAAGCACUGUCUAGCCUACGUAUUCUCUCUGCUUGUCUGUUGAUAGUGCAGUGGUUAUGUCAUUUUAAUAUUAUAUAAUAUAUAUAAUAUUAUAUAGCUUUUAUGACGAAGGUUUACAUUAUGCACGUGGAAUUUGGCAUGCGAGAGAUUAAAUAAAAUAGGCUGUUGAUCGCGUGCCUGCUCUUCUGCGUUAUUCAUAUUGAAGAGCAUCAAUUAUUAAACAAGACUUGUAGCACAAGAAGGAUCUAGCCUUAAGAAACUAUUUGAGGUGAAAAAGGUGAGGUGAAAAAAUACCGUAGUAAUUUAUAGUAAGUACUAUAGUGUUUUUGAACCAUACUUGAAUUAAUUUGUUGUGGUAAUUCUAUAGGCUAUUGCUGUGGUAAUAUAACAACUAUAGUAAUAUAAACAAAUUACGUUACCCAAUACUGUACUAUGUUUUCUUUAAACUAUAUUAUACUACAAUACACGCAGUUAACUGUAGUACAAACUAAAGUACUACAGCCUAUGCUGUAGCAAUAAUUAACAAAGUGUUGUAAAUACUAUAAUAUACAGUAUAUUUACUGGUUCAAAAACACUAUUUACUAUCAAUAUAGUAUUUUUACACCCCAUGUCCAACCAAAUGACGCCGAUUGGAUAAGUUCAGACAAAUGACUAUUUGUCUAUGUAAAAUAUAUAGCCAUUGUGACAAAAUUACAUCCCGUGUCAUUAUAAUUCGUAGGCUAGUUUAUGCAAAAUAAUAAUAAUAAUAAAAUAAAUAAAUAACUAGCACUAAAAAAACUGAGUAGGCUAAUAAAACUUGCAUAAAUCAUAUAUUUCGCCCUCUCGAGCUAUAAGCUACAGGUCCUGUAAAAAUAGUUCAUACUCUUCAAAAUAAAUAAAUGCAUUAUAGUAAAAUAUAUCUAGGCAGGCACUCGGGAAAAACGCAUAGUUUCCCUGUUACGGAAGUCAAGCAUGCAGCAAUAUUUUAUUUAUUUUUCAUUAUCUCGACAUAAUUGUUUCUCGGGAUCUAAACAUUAAAAAAGUAGUUGUAAUCAUAAGAAAACAAGAAAAAAAUAAAAUAAUAAUGAAUGGCCUUUCGUACUUUAAAAAAAACGCAUAUCCCGGCUUCCGUACUUUUUUGGUUGGAUCGUUAUAAACACCUCUCUCAGUUAGAAAACACCCCAAAAUUGGGAGACGCCCCUCUUUUGUUCCGCAGAGACCUAUACUUGAUAAUUUGACCGCGGACCCAGAGCCAUAGAGAGAGAGAGUUGCGACAACUCCAUAGACUCCAAUGGAACGGUUUUUUACAGCAAUGGCGGCUCGUGGAGCCUCUCAAUAGUUCCCGGAAGUAGCAGCCGCGCCGUAGAGUUACAGCAGAACAGACCGUUUGUGAUGUACUUUUAAAAGCACAAAGGGGAUUCAGAUCCUGAAGACUCCAUGCAAUGAUGCGGUCACCGCCAGUCUCUGCUCCUUGGAUUUUGCAAGCUUUUCCUUGCUCCUUAUUUUUAAUAAACCUUUAAUAAACAUAAAA